AGUGAACGCUGGCGGUAGGCCUAACACAUGCAAGUCGAACGGCAGCACAGGAGAGCUUGCUCUCUGGGUGGCUAGUGGCGGACGGGUGAGGAAUACAUCGGAAUCUACUCUGUCGUGGGGGAUAACGUAGGGAAACUUACGCUAAUACCGCAUACGACCUACGGGUGAAAGCAGGGGAUCUUCGGACCUUGCGCGACUGAAUGAGCCGAUGUCGGAUUAGCUAGUUGGCGGGGUAAAGGCCCACCAAGGCGACGAUCCGUAGCUGGUCUGAGAGGAUGAUCAGCCACAUUGGAACUGAGAAACGGUCCAGACUCCUACGGGAGGCAGCAGUGGGGAAUAUUGGACAAUGGGCGCAAGCCUGAUCCAGCCAUACCGCGUGGGUGAAGAAGGCCUUCGGGUUGUAAAGCCCUUUUGUUGGGAAAGAAAUCCAGCUGGCUAAUACCCGGUUGGGAUGACGGUACCCAAAGAAUAAGCACCGGCUAACUUCGUGCCAGCCGCCGCAGUAA
Molecule: ribosomal RNA, 506 nt
Filed under: uncultured bacterium
Lineage: Bacteria
Description: partial 16S ribosomal RNA
Rfam family: Bacterial small subunit ribosomal RNA
Source: RNAcentral